CCGAAUUCAAGCAAAGGGCUCCUGUAAGAGUUGAGGUGGUGAGGGACCAUGGUGAGGGUAAGCUGAUGACUAGGCCCUUAAGUCCCGGGGAAUGGCGGGAGAGUUCAAGUCCUGUUCGGUAUCAUACUGAAGAGAAAUGGAAUAAGCCUUCUAGACCCGUUCAGUAUGACGUCGAAGAGAAAUGGAAUAAGCCAUCGAGUCCUGUUCGGUAUCGUGUCGAAGAGAAAUGGAAUAAGCCAUCUAGUCCUGUUGGUUAUGGUGUCGAAGAGAAAUGGAGUAGGCCUUCGAGUCCUGUUCGGUACCAUGUCGAAGAGAAAUGGACGAACCGGCCUUCAAGUCCGGUUAAGGAACGUCCACAACAAGUUCCGGAUUUCAUUACCAAAGUUCAAACUCAAGCUAGCCGACCAAACAAGUUCGGUCCUCUCAGCGCAACAUAUUGGCGCCAGACACCAGCCACGACCACCACAACCGUUGGU
RNAcentral lists this long non-coding RNA (476 nucleotides) under Gossypium barbadense (sea-island cotton). RNAcentral's name for it is "long non-coding RNA (GBAR_LNC022683)". Lineage: Eukaryota; Viridiplantae; Streptophyta; Magnoliopsida; Malvales; Malvaceae. The record is from RNAcentral.